This 208-nucleotide unclassified non-coding RNA is filed under the name soil metagenome. RNAcentral's name for it is "partial contains 5.8S ribosomal RNA, internal transcribed spacer 2, and large subunit ribosomal RNA". The record is from RNAcentral.
AACCAUUCUCACCUGCGGCUAGACCUGCGGAAGGAUCAUUACCGAGUUUACAACUCCCAAACCCCUGUGAACAUACCACUUGUUGCCUCGGCGGAUCAGCCCGCUCCCGGUAAAACGGGACGGCCCGCCAGAGGACCCCUAAACUCUGUUUCUAUAUGUAACUUCUGAGUAAAACCAUAAAUAAAUCAAAACUUUCAACAACGGAUCU